GUAGCGUGAAGGAUGACUGCCUAUGGGUUGUAAACUUCUUUUAUACGGGAAUAAGUGAGCCACGUGUGGCUUUUUGUAUGUACCGUAUGAAUAAGGAUCGGCUAACUCCGUGCCAGCAGCCGCGGUAAUACGGAGGAUCCGAGCGUUAUCCGGAUUUAUUGGGUUUAAAGGGAGCGUAGGCGGGUUGUUAAGUCAGUUGUGAAAGUUUGCGGCUCAACCGUAAAAUUGCAGUUGAUACUGGCGACCUUGAGUGCAACAGAGGUAGGCGGAAUUCGUGGUGU
RNAcentral lists this ribosomal RNA (281 nucleotides) under uncultured bacterium. RNAcentral's name for it is "partial 16S ribosomal RNA". It matches the Rfam family "Bacterial small subunit ribosomal RNA", at positions 396 to 676 of the family's 1533-position model. The record is from RNAcentral.